AAUGGGCGCAAGCCUGAACCAGCCAUCCCGCGUGAAGGAAGAAGGCGCUAUGCGUUGUAAACUUCUUUUCCGGAGGAAUAAAAUCUUGUACGCGUACAGGACUGAAGGUACUCCGGGAAUAAGCAUCGGCUAACUCCGUGCCAGCAGCCGCGGUAAUACGGAGGAUGCAAGCGUUAUCCGGAUUUAUUGGGUUUAAAGGGUGCGUAGGCGGAUUAAUAAGUCAGCGGUGAAAACCUUCAGCUUAACUGGAGACUUGCCAUUGAUACUGUUAGUCUUGAGUAUGGUUAAGGUAGGCGGAAUGUGUAAUGUAGCGGUGAAAUGCUUAGAUAUUACACAGAACACCAAUUGCGAAGGCAGCUUACUGAGCCAUAACUGACGCUGAUGCACGAAAGCGUGGGGAGCGAA
Molecule: ribosomal RNA, 405 nt
Filed under: uncultured bacterium
Lineage: Bacteria
Description: bacterial SSU rRNA
Rfam family: Bacterial small subunit ribosomal RNA
Source: RNAcentral